GGUUGACCUCGGAUCAGGUAGGGAUACCCGCUGAACUUAAGCAUAUCAAUAAGCGGAGGAAAAGAAACCAACCGGGAUUGCCUCAGUAACGGCGAGUGAAGCGGCAAGAGCUCAAAUUUGAAAGCUGGCUCCUUCGGAGUCCGCAUUGUAAUUUGCAGAGGAUGCUUUGGGUGCGGCCCCCGUCUAAGUGCCCUGGAACGGGCCGUCAGAGAGGGUGAGAAUCCCGUCUUGGGCGGGGUGUCCGUGCCCGUGUAAAGCUCCUUCGACGAGUCGAGUUGUUUGGGAAUGCAGCUCUAAAUGGGUGGUAAAUUUCAUCUAAAGCUAAAUACUGGCCGGAGACCGAUAGCGCACAAGUAGAGUGAUCGAAAGAUGAAAAGCACUUUGAAAAGAGAGUUAAACAGCACGUGAAAUUGUUGAAAGGGAAGCGCUUGCGACCAGACUCGCCCGCGGGGUUCAGCCGGCAUUCGUGCCGGUGUACUUCCCCGUGGGCGGGCCAGCGUCGGUUUGGGCGGCCGGUCAAAGGCCCCUGGAAUGUAGUACCCUCCGGGGUACCUUAUAGCCAGGGGUGCAAUGCGGCCAGCCUGGACCGAGGAACGCGCUUCGGCACGGACGCUGGCAUAAUGGUCGUAAACGACC
This 636-nucleotide ribosomal RNA is filed under the name Aspergillus tubingensis. Its description in RNAcentral is "eukaryotic LSU rRNA". It matches the Rfam family "Eukaryotic large subunit ribosomal RNA", at positions 1 to 649 of the family's 3401-position model. Lineage: Eukaryota; Fungi; Ascomycota; Eurotiomycetes; Eurotiales; Aspergillaceae. The record is from RNAcentral.